RNAcentral lists this ribosomal RNA (253 nucleotides) under uncultured bacterium. RNAcentral's name for it is "partial 16S ribosomal RNA". It matches the Rfam family "Bacterial small subunit ribosomal RNA", at positions 524 to 776 of the family's 1533-position model. The record is from RNAcentral.
UACAGAGGUCUCAAGCGUUGUUCGGAAUCACUGGGCUUAAAGGGCGCGUAGGCGGGCUUGCAAGUCUGUGGUGAAAUCCUCCAGCCCAACUGGAGAACGGCCGUGGAUACUGCGAGUCUCGAGGGAGGUAGGGGCGUGCGGAACAGAUGGUGGAGCGGUGAAAUGCGUUGAUAUCAUCUGGAACUCCGGUGGCGAAGGCGGCACGCUGGACCUCAUCUGACGCUGAGGCGCGAAAGCUAGGGGAGCAAACGGG